This 245-nucleotide ribosomal RNA is filed under the name uncultured Melioribacter sp. RNAcentral describes it as "partial 16S ribosomal RNA". It matches the Rfam family "Bacterial small subunit ribosomal RNA", at positions 524 to 768 of the family's 1533-position model. Lineage: Bacteria; Pseudomonadati; Ignavibacteriota; Ignavibacteria; Ignavibacteriales; Melioribacteraceae. The record is from RNAcentral.
UACGUAGGGGGCAAGCGUUGUCCGGAUUUACUGGGUGUAAAGGGCGCGCAGGCGGAUCUGUUAGUCAGGGGUGAAAUCCUACGGCUCAACCGUAGAACUGCCUCUGAUACUGCAGAUCUUGAGUUCGGAAGAGAGAAGCGGAAUUCCAGGUGUAGUGGUGAAAUACGUAGAUAUCUGGAAGAACACCAGUGGCGAAGGCGGCUUCUUGGUCCGCAACUGACGCUGAGGCGCGAAAGCGUGGGGAG